CGCCUAACACAUGCAAGUCGAACGCAGUAGCAAUACUGAGUGGCAAACGGGUGAGUAUAAUGUGGGAAUCUGCCUUUUGGUUUGGAAUAACACGGGGAAACUUGUGCUAAUACCGAAUAAGCCCUUACGGGGAAAGUUUUAAUGCCGAAAGAUGAGCCCGCACUUGAUUAGCUAGUUGGUAAGGUAAAAGCUUACCAAGGCAACGAUCAAUAGCUGUUCUUAGAGGAAGACCAGCCACAUUGGGACUGAGACACGGCCCAGACUCCUACGGGAGGCAGCAGUGGGGAAUCUUGCACAAUGGGGGAAACCCUGAUGCAGCGAUGCCGCGUGAGUGAAGAAGGCCCUUGGGUUGUAAAACUCUUUCGUCGGGGAAGAAAAUGACUGUACCCGAAUAAGAAGGUCCGGCUAACUUCGUGCCAGCAGCCGCGGUAAUACGAAGGGACCUAGCGUAGUUCGGAAUUACUGGGCUUAAAGAGCUCGUAGGUGGUUGAAAAAGUUGAUGGUGAAAUCCCAAGGCUCAACCUUGGAACUGCCAUCAAAACUUUUUAGCUAGAGUGUGAUAGAGGUAAGUGGAAUCUCUAGUGUAGAGGUGAAAUUCGUAGAUAUUAGAAAGAACACCAAAUGCGAAGGCAACUUACUGGGUCACUACUGACACUGAGGAGCGAAAGCAUGGGUAGCGAAGAGGAUUAGAUACCCUCGUAGUCCAUGCCGUAAACGAUGAGUGCUAGACGUUGGAAAUAUAUUUUUCAGUGUCGCAGCGAAAGCAUUAAGCACUCCGCCUGGGGAGUACGACCGCAAGGUUAAAACUCAAAUGAAUUGACGGGGACCCGCACAAGCAGUGGAGCAUGUGGUUUAAUUCGAAGAUACGCGCAGAACCUUACCAACGCUUGACAUGUUCGUCGCGA
RNAcentral lists this ribosomal RNA (905 nucleotides) under uncultured Alphaproteobacteria bacterium. RNAcentral describes it as "bacterial SSU rRNA". It matches the Rfam family "Bacterial small subunit ribosomal RNA", at positions 45 to 998 of the family's 1533-position model. The record is from RNAcentral. Lineage: Bacteria; Pseudomonadati; Pseudomonadota; Alphaproteobacteria.